GUACACCAGGCGAGAAACCUCCGCGAUGCGGGAAACCGUGACGGGGUCACCCCGAGUGCCACCCGAUGAGGGUGGCUUUUCCCCGGUCUAAAAAGCCGGGGGCAAUAAGCGGGGGGCAAGUCUGGUGUCAGCCGCCGCGGUAAUACCAGCCCCGCGAGUGGUCGGGACGUUUAUUGGGCCUAAAGCGUCCGUAGCCGGCUCGGUAAGUCCCUCCUUAAAUCCACGGGCUCAACCCGUGGGCUGGGAGGGAUACUGCCGGGCUAGGGGGCGGGAGAGGCCGAGGGUACUCCCGGGGUAGGGGCGAAAUCCGUUAAUCCCGGGAGGACCACCAGUGGCGAAGGCGCUCGGCUGGAACGCGCCCGACGGUGAGGGACGAAAGCUGGGGGAGCAAAAGGGGAUUAGAUACCCGGGUAGU
This 415-nucleotide ribosomal RNA is filed under the name uncultured microorganism. Its description in RNAcentral is "bacterial SSU rRNA". It matches the Rfam family "Archaeal small subunit ribosomal RNA", at positions 330 to 745 of the family's 1478-position model. The record is from RNAcentral.